CUCCUUUCUGAUGCCAUUGGACGUUAAGUAGGCCAUGGCCAGAGGAAUGCUGUCGGCCUCGUUUGGGGAAUAGAGAGCUUGGACUGGAGACCAGGCAAUCUGGGCCCUGGAUGAUUUGCUGGGCUCUGCUUCUGCUCAGCUGAGAGAGCCACAGGAGGGCCGAAGAGGGACUGAGAUGGAAGCUCGGGGGCAGCAGCUUUGUGAGACAGCCGGGAAAAGAACAGAAGGUUUUGUCCGGUUCAAGAAUCAGAGACUGGCAGACAUGCUUCUCGAAGUAUGGACCUGGAGAGGCAGCAGGAGCUCCUGAGAAGUGCAGAUGCUAUGCCCCAGCUCUGGACCUACAGGCACAAACUCUAGGGUCCAGCCCGGCACCCCAGAGUGCUUCCACUGUGUGCUCCCGUUUGAGAACCAUUGCUGUAGGGACUUAACCUUUUUGAUCUGAUGAGCAAAUAUUCUACUCCCUUGUUUCUUCCUAUUUACAAUAAAAGUCCUGCUUCCC
Molecule: long non-coding RNA, 499 nt
Filed under: Chinchilla lanigera (long-tailed chinchilla)
Lineage: Eukaryota; Metazoa; Chordata; Mammalia; Rodentia; Chinchillidae
Description: lncRNA (ENSCLAG00000027021.1)
Source: RNAcentral